AGCGGAGCAUGUGGUUUAAUUCGAAGCAACGCGAAGAACCUUACCUAGACUUGACACCUCCUGAAUUACCCGUAACUGGGGAAGCUCUUCGGAGCAGGAAGACAGGUGGUGCAUGGUUGUCGUCAGCUCGUGUCGUGAGAUGUUGGGUUAAGUCCCGCAACGAGCGCAACCCUUAUCGUUAGUUGCUACCAUUAAGUUGAGCACUCUAGCGAGACUGCCCGGGUUAACCGGGAGGAAGGUGGGGAUGACGUCAAAUCAUCAUGCCCCUUAUGUCUAGGGCUACACACGUGCUACAAUGGUGAGGACAAAGAGACGCAAGACCGCGAGGUGGAGCAAAUCUCACAAACCUCAUCCCAGUUCGGAUUGCAGGCUGAAACUCGCCUGCAUGAAGCCGGAGUUGCUAGUAAUCGCGAAUCAGCAUGUCGCGGUGAAUACGUUCCCGGGCCUU
This 448-nucleotide ribosomal RNA is filed under the name uncultured Clostridium sp. Its description in RNAcentral is "bacterial SSU rRNA". It matches the Rfam family "Bacterial small subunit ribosomal RNA", at positions 931 to 1382 of the family's 1533-position model. The record is from RNAcentral. Lineage: Bacteria; Bacillati; Bacillota; Clostridia; Eubacteriales; Clostridiaceae.